AAGCUCGUAGUUGAAUUUCGGGAUCGAAUUGUUGGUCGUGCUUCGGUACGCACUGGCAUUAUCGGUUCCUACCUUCUGAAGAACCGCGAUGUCAUUAAUUUGGUGUCGUGGGGAAUCAGGACUGUUACUUUGAAGAAAUUAGAGUGUUUAAAGCAGGCUUACGCUUGAAUACAUUAGCAUGGAAUAAUGAAGUAGGACGUUUGAUUCUAUUUUGUUGGUUUCUAGGAUCGACGUAAUGAUUAAUAGGGAUAGUUGGG
Molecule: ribosomal RNA, 257 nt
Filed under: uncultured Glomus
Lineage: Eukaryota; Fungi; Glomeromycota; Glomeromycetes; Glomerales; Glomeraceae
Description: partial 18S ribosomal RNA
Rfam family: Eukaryotic small subunit ribosomal RNA
Source: RNAcentral